AAGAGAGUGAAGAUGCACGCACGAUCGGAAAAGAGCAGGUUGAUGCAUAAAGUUUGCUGUGGAAUGGCAAAACCGUAAUUUCAAAAGCAAAAUCCCGUAUCAAUGGCGUAACAGUAAAUCUACUCUCUCUCUCUCUCACUCUCUCUAACCUCCUCCUCGCUGACUUCUCUGAUUCUCUCAACCGCCAGAAUAAUGUCACCAUCGUGGGCAACCGCCAUCAUCCACCGCGAAAUCGACCAUUAAAUCUGGCGCGCCUGCGCCGGAGCCUCCGUCCAGAUCCCCACGCUCUUCUCUAGGGUUUACUAUUACCCCAGGGACACGCGGAGAACUGAUGCCGUAAUCUCUCCCUCCUCCGUCGUCACUUCUCCGAUCGUCUCCUCCUCAGUCAACCUCCUCGCGGAUCCGAUCACCGACGAGGUCUUCGCUCACCUCACUUUACACCCCGUGGCUCGCGAUUGAUCAGUUUCCUCCCCCUACCUCUCGAUUCGACGAAGAGGAUGGUCACGUUCGCGAAUGUCCUCAACAAGAAGCUAAUCGCUUGAGACUCACGAGGAAAUCAAUUCACGAGAGGUGUGAGGAGAGUUCCGAUCUAUUAUCCGACGGCGGGGUGGUCUGAUUUUGUCGUGAGACAUGAGGACGUUGAGGCGUCAACGAAUGUUUACUGGACUCCGGGAACUCGAGUGGAAACGGAAGAUUCUUCGAGGUUUCAGGAGAUAUGGAAACAAGCUUCAGAUCACAUGGGACGAACCUGAGAUUCUGCAGAACUUGGCAAGUUGAAGCUGUUUCGAAUUCAACUCAGCUUCAUGCUACUCACAUCCCCACCAACAAAGAAAUCCAAGUAUCCACAUGGCGCAAGUGGGUUCUUGAGUGGAGAGGAAGGAGAGAUGAUCAAUUCUGGAAGAGGACAAGCUGUGGAUCCAAAUCCCCUAUGUGUACUCGUAUACUACAGUUCCUGCUGGCAUUAUGAAUUUGGGUCUUACGACUCAACCGGAUUCAUUGGAGAAAACGCUACCGAGUUUGACUUCUUUAGUCCUCUUCCCGGUCUGUGAAGAGUCUCGACUCAGAUGAUGAACUUUGGCAGUCCGCGUUCAGAUGACUUGUCGCCUAACAGCAAUACCACUAAUGUUUCCUCUCGCAGCUGGGAACCGAGGCAUUAGUUUUCAGCUGAGAGCGGUGUUGAGGACUCUAGCUUGUGUGAAGAGGAUGGAAGCAAAAAGAGUCCAGUGACUAUUAAGUUCCUAACGAGGCCCAGUUGCAGGGUCGUGGAGGAAGGUGAAGAGUCUUAGCGUGGGUGCCUUCAAGAUUCCAACAGCCACAUAGGUAGUAUCUGCAAAAAAGGUCAGGUGAAGUGAAUCAAGGAAUGUUUGGAAUCUGUACGUCCCAAGUAGUAGUUGGUUGGUAAUACUAAAAAGUAUCUAUCCGGUUUUUAUUUUCUUGCAUUUUGACUUUCCUCGAGGGGUUUUAUGUUUUGCCACUUAGCAAUUUGUUUAUUUUUUAACUGAUUUCUGAGACGCAUUUUGGAGGAACAUCUCGCUCUCUCUUAA
Molecule: long non-coding RNA, 1544 nt
Organism: Brassica oleracea var. oleracea
Lineage: Eukaryota; Viridiplantae; Streptophyta; Magnoliopsida; Brassicales; Brassicaceae
Exons: 3
Source: RefSeq, a predicted model, not a curated record